CCUACGGGUGGCAGCAGUGAGGAAUAUUGGUCAAUGGACGAGAGUCUGAACCAGCCAAGUAGCGUGAAGGAUGACUGCCCUAUGGGUUGUAAACUUCUUUUAUAUGGGAAUAAAAUGUUCCACGUGUGGGCUUUUGUAUGUCCCAUAUGAAUAAGGAUCGGCUAAAUCCGUGCCAGAAGCCGCGGUAAUCCGGAGGAUCCUAUCGUUAUCCGGAUUUAUUGGGUUUAAAGGGAGCGUAGGUGGAUUGUUAAGUCAGUUGUUAAAGUUUGCGGCUCAACCGUAAAAUUGCAGUUGAAACUGGCAGUCUUGAGUACAGGAGAGGUGGGCGGAAUUCGUGGUGUAGCGGUGAAAUGCUUAGAUAUCACGAAGAACUCCGAUUGCGAAGGCAGCUCACUGGACUGCAACUGACACUGAGGCUCGAAAGUGUGGGUAUCAAACAGGAUUAGAUACCCUUGUAGUC
RNAcentral lists this ribosomal RNA (460 nucleotides) under uncultured bacterium. RNAcentral's name for it is "partial 16S ribosomal RNA". It matches the Rfam family "Bacterial small subunit ribosomal RNA", at positions 338 to 795 of the family's 1533-position model. The record is from RNAcentral.